Molecule: long non-coding RNA, 2338 nt
Organism: Amblyraja radiata (thorny skate)
Lineage: Eukaryota; Metazoa; Chordata; Chondrichthyes; Rajiformes; Rajidae
Exons: 2
Source: RefSeq, a predicted model, not a curated record
GAAUGACUGUGCUGAGCGGGCUGGAGACGCGCUGGGGAGGAACAACACGAAAGGAAACGGUUUAAUCCCGCUCUUUCUCGACCAGGAGAUCCACAUUUCCGACCGUCUCAAUGUUUUCGACGAGAACAUGGCUAAAAGCGGACUUUUUCUGUGGAUUUUUCGAUUUUAUCUUUGUAUAUUAUUGUGUGCAAGAUGGCUCCCUGGCUUCAGAUGCUGAAGGGCGCCACACCUGGUGUAUGUGUGGAAACAUCAACUUGUCUCACAUCCUGACAGCUUUAUCUCAGCGGACAUAUUAAAUCUACUUUUUUGAGCCAAGCACAGAUAACUUGAUGCCUGUCCAUGGCUGGAGGUGUUAAAGUGGCAGUCCUCAACUGAAGAAGUUGCUAAAAGUAGGAGGACAUCUUCUAAUGUGAACUACUGCACACUCCAACAUUGGUCAUCGCGGCAGCACUGGUGCAGAUUUGGAGCAUUCAGGAGUUCCUCCAACAAAAUAAAAACAGAAAGCUUUUCCUGAAAACUGGAGAAAUCUGGUUCAUUGUAGACUUGUAUUUUUGGUCCCUGUAUGAAGCACUGGAUCAACCUGAUGUCUGGUCAUACUUGAUAUAAUGUUGCAGUAUUUGCACCAAAUGCCUAUUGAAUGCUGAGUUAGGUCACGGCUGUAUGCCCAACAUUCAUGAAUUGGCACAGUAGCAUUUCAUUAUGCCUUGUAAAUGAGUUUUUGUACAUUAAUUUUCACCUUAAUUCGGUCGUAUUAACAAAAAAUGCACUCUAGUCUGUUUUUCUUAAGCUACUGAGCUUUUGCACACUAAUGUUUAUAAAAUUAUGGUUAAUGUUUCUGUAUCUUCCACCCUAUUGCCUUUGAAUAAUCUGAAAUUCAUGCCAUUUAGGUUUUGUAUAGAUUUACUCAAUUUUUCAUUUAAUCUAAUAUUCCAGAUAAAAGAUGGUAAAUGUGGCUGUAUGCUGGUAAGGGGGAGGAAAUGGGAGUAAAAUGUUGCAAUGAUCAUAAACUGCAUUUUGGUUAAUGGAUUGUGAAGACACAAAACAUUGGUGGAAGCUUGGAGAGAUGAUAACAUCACGUACACGAGGAUAUGCCAAUAAUGCCUGUGAUCUUCAAGCCACCUAGCUUGAAGACCGGACGCAUAAAUACUCAUUUGGAAGUUUAUAACUUCACAUAUUAUGAAAAUUGAAUUUUGUGACCUGUCACCAAAGGAAGUGUAUACACUUGACAAUCGAAAAAAUCAUUUUUUCUUAAUUCUGUGAUGAAUAUUUAUUCUUCAUUUUCCACAGUGUCUUAUGUUGCUUUCCUUUCAUCCUGUUGCUUUUGAUGGGUAAUAAGGACAUCCCAUCUUGACUUUUUAAUGCAGCAAGAAACUCGCAAAAAUAAAUGAUGUGCCGAUUGACUUUGGGGGGGGGGGGAGGGGGGAGACAUUUUUUUUCAUGGGAACCAUAUUCCAAGUUGGUUGAGUUAUUUAUAGAAAAUACUUAAGAGACAUUUAUAAAGUUAGUUGGCCUCGCAUGAUAAGACAUCCUUGAGGGUAGCAGAACUAGUCAAAAACAUGGUUAAAAUGGACAAGCAGGCUGCUUUCUUUAUUAGUUGAAGGAUAGGAUAUAUGAGUGGUGAUAGUGUGUUAAAACUGAAUUGGCUGUAGCUUGGGUACUGCUUAAAGUUCUGGUCACAUUACAGAAAGUAAGAGAAGGUGCAAAGGAAAGUUAUGAAGUUAUUGCCAGACUUGAAAUUGUUAUCUUGUGUCAUGAUAAUUGAAUUGAGUAUAGAUUGAUUGCAAAGCGUAACCAGCACAUUCAACAUUCACAAAAUUGGCAGACCUUGUUAAAAUAAAUAGGGGAGACCCAUUUCCCUUGGCAGAGGAAUGAAAACGGAGGAGAUAUGUAUUUAAAGUAAUUGGUAGAUAGAUUAAAUGGCAAAUUAGCAUUUUUCUUUCGUGAGGAUAAAAUCACAAUCUGAAAUGGGGAAGAGGCAAAAAAACUGCAUUUGAUCAAAAUUUGGAUGUUCUUAAAGGCUACAAAACAUGUUGCCAGAUUAGAUUGGCUUUAUCAACUGGCCCUACUCAUUAAUUUUCUCUUGUAAUUCUGAGGUGUGAAGGCCAAUUUAAGUUAUCCUGUGCAUGUCAAGAGUUGAUCAUUUCAUUUGUGUGCUCAUUUUAAAAUGGUGUAUACUUUGUGUAUGGGUGCAUUGUAACUUUAUUUUUCAUCUCUUUCAGGUUUACGUUUCUAAUGGGAGAUUACAAGUUGAACAUGCAUGUUGUGAAACUCAAAUUAAUUGGACUAAUAAUGUUCUCAAUAAAACAUUCAACCUGAAAAUAAAGUAAAUGUAUCCAAA